RNAcentral lists this long non-coding RNA (729 nucleotides) under Nicotiana benthamiana. RNAcentral describes it as "long non-coding RNA (NBEN_LNC033084)". The record is from RNAcentral. Lineage: Eukaryota; Viridiplantae; Streptophyta; Magnoliopsida; Solanales; Solanaceae.
AGGAAUCCCGUGUUUGCUAAACAACGCCCACCAACCUAACACGAUGAAUAGAAUCUCUAUACCGCCAAGGAUGAAAGAAAACAAGUAAAGAUAAAUCCACUUCACCUUCUUAAAAUCCAAUUCAUACAUAGAAGGUGUACCAAAAAGAACGUUUUCUGGACUCCGUCCACAUUUUGCAUCAGUACUUUCAAGAUUCAAAAGACCUGAUUCCGAUCCACUUAGAUUCUUAGGUACUUUAAAGAAUGCAGUACCAGGAAAACCAGGAGACCUAUAGCCAUUGAACAGCAUGACUUUAGUGAAGCAUGUUCCCUCACCAUUUCGCCUGUAGACAAAAGCACGACAACGCGGAUCAUCCAAGCACAAUAUCCUACAAGAAUCCAGUGACAUAGAAUUAGUGAAGUUAAGAUCAAAACCCGAGUAAUCAACAUUAGGAAUCUCCACGAACUUCACAUGUUCGCGACUCAAACUUCUUUGAAUAGAAUCUCUAUUCCGCCAAGGGUGAAAGAAAACAAGUAAAGAUAAAUCCACUUCACCUUCUUAAAAUCCAAUUCAUACAUAGAAGGUGUACCAAAAAGAAUGUCUUCUGGACUCGGUCCACACUUUGCUUCUGUACUUUCAAGAUUCAAAAAACCUGAUUCUGAUCCACUUAGAUUCUUAGGUACUUUAAAGAAUGCAGUACCAGGAAAACCAGGAGACCUAUAGCCAUUGAAAAGCAUGCCUUUAGUGAAG